UAAGAGCUGAUCUUUGAACAAAAAAGUCUCAAUUCAUCACAAAAAUACAAAAAUUACAUCCUCUUAACUUUCAAGGUUCUGUUAGGCAUCAUCAGAGUUGCAAAUUUCUUUUCGAGUUUACAUUGUGACACGAUUUUGAAAGAGUUGUUGUUGCUUGAGAUGUUGUGAAUGACUACUUUUAGUCGAGAGAGGUUUGCUGAGAUCUAAGAUUAGCUUUUGUCUGCAACGGUUGCUUGAAAUCCGAUAGUCAUUUUGAGAUGCAAACAUCUCAGAGAACACAAAUGUCUGGAAGUGUUCACGGAUUGUACAAUCAGCAAAUGCAGCAAGUUGAGCAGUAUUACGCCCCUUACGAUGUUCUUAAGAACAGCUGUAAGGAUAAUCGUAGCUCAGGGAUGCAAUUCUCUUUACAGGCACAAGACGAACAAUUCUUCACGCUGGACUCGUCACCAGCUACCGACUAUGUUGUCAACGAUUCACCUCCUGCCUUGAGUGUUUCUUCCAACAGGAGUCCCUUUUCUCCUCAAUGUUCACAGUCAUACAUGUCUGAUCUGCAUCACUCCUCUGAUAACACGUGUGGUUCGCCUUUGAGUGGGUGUUCAGGAAUUGAUGAUGGUGACUUGAGACAUGUGCUUCGGGAGCUGGAGAAUAAAUUACUGGGGCCUGAAUCUGAUACUGACGACAGCUGCAGUUGCUCCUUGAACGAUAUGGUCUCAAAACCGUCUUCUGUUACAAGGUGGAACCGAGUGUUGGACAUGGCCCCUGGCUUGAACUUGAAAGAGUUGCUCGAUGCCUGUGCUGAAGCAGUGUCAGAUGCUGAUAUCUCUACUGCUGAAGCUCUUAUGAGUGCUUUAGAGCAACGGGUGUCUGUGUCUGGGGAACCGAUGGAACGAUUGGGUGCAUACGUGUUGGAAGGGAUUAGAGCACGACUACUAUCGUCAGGAAGCAUCAUAUAUAAAAAAUUGAAGUGCAAAGAACCAACUGGCUUGGAACUAUUGUCUUACAUGCAAGUCAUCUUUAACAUGUGUCCAUACUACAAAUUUGCUUAUAUGUCUGCGAAUGUCGUCAUUAAUGAAGCCAUGAUGAAUGAAAACAGAAUCCAUAUCAUUGAUUUUCAGAUUGCACAGGGAAGUCAGUGGAUGUUCCUCCUCCACUAUCUUGCUCAUCGUCCUGGUGGACCCCCAUUUGUCCGCAUCACAGGUGUUGAUGACGACGAAUCAGCUUAUGCUCGGGGUGGAGGACUUCAGCUAGUAGGCAAAAGGCUAGCAGAAGUUGCCAAAUCAUGUGGAGUGCCUUUUGAAUU
RNAcentral lists this unclassified non-coding RNA (1300 nucleotides) under Hevea brasiliensis (rubber tree). Lineage: Eukaryota; Viridiplantae; Streptophyta; Magnoliopsida; Malpighiales; Euphorbiaceae. The record is from RNAcentral.